AAUCCACACCCACAGUCACCUGGCAAUGGCCAGGUAGGCCUGGCCCACUAUAAAAGGGGCUGUUUGCCUCCUCCCUCUCUUGCUCUCUUACUCUUUCUCUUACUCUCUUACUCUCCUUCCCUUGUCUCUCUCUUGCUCUCUUGCUCUCCCCCUCUCCGCAUCCCCCCCACACACACACACAUGUCAAUGGCCAGCCUACCAUAAAUGCCUACAAACCAUCCCAACCACUUUCACCGCUGCCAAGCUGCCGCCCAGGCAAGCCAAGGAUUCUCCUCCCCAUGGGAACCAGCUGGAGCUCUCUCCUCCUGUCCUUUCACCUGAGGCCCUGAGCUAGAGCCAGCCCUGUGGGUCCCCAACUCUGUUCUCAGCUCUUCUGCCAGCAUCCAGUGGUGUGUGUGGUGCCCAAGAGCUAGAAACUGCUAUUCCUGCCCUCUGUGUAUGCCUGGAGGCCUGAGCCAAUUCUGGCAGGUUUGUGGGGACCUCAGACUGCACUUCCCCACAUCCGGAGCAGGGUCCUGCAGCUUCUCACAGCCCAAGGUUCACUUAUCAGUGGUAGCAUAAGGUUUUUCUGCAGCCUGAGCCAAAGGUUUCACAUGGAGACUGAAAAAGAGAGAUGAUAUGGGCAGUAUGUGCAAUCAAGGAUUUGUGCUCAUGAAGCUCGGACUAAUAGGAUGACUCCACCGGAAGAGAAGAGCUACAUCACCACAGCCUCACUCAGUACCCUCAACCCUGCAAACUAAAGAGAGAUACAUAGGGGAUUGAGGUGUGUCAUAUUCCCCGCUGCUGCCUGAAGAUCAAUAUGUAAAACACUCAGCUCCUUCUCCAGUAUCAUAUCUACCUGCAUUCCACCUUGCUUCUUACCAUGGCGAUAAUAGACUAAACUACUGAAACUAUGCCAGUGGAGGCCAGAAGAAAGCAUUGGAUCCCCUUGAACGGGAGUCAUAGGAAAUUGUAAGCCACAUGAUAUGGUUUCAGGAAUCGAACUUUGCUCUUCUGGAAGAACAGCAAUAUCUCUUAACUACCAAACCAUCUCUCCAGCUGUAUGAUUGCUAGAUUUGUGGUGAUAUAUGAUAUGAGUAACAGAGAAAUGUGUAAAACACAUAUGUCAAUGGGAAACCUGAUAAAUUCAAUCAUGAUAUGUCCCUGUACACUCCAUGGAACUCACUGUUUCUAAGAACAGAAAUACCUGAAGACUGAGUUUCACCAUGUAGCUAUGACUGUCCUGAAACUCACAAACCACAGAGACAGGCCUGCACCUGGCGUUUGAAGGCAUGCAGGAGUGUGUCCUGCUAGAAUCUACCUAUUCCUAAAUGUGGUUAUCUGAAGUAUGGUAUUAAAAUAGCCUGUAAGCUAUAAUUUCUAUAAAUGUCUUUCCAAUUAUCUGAAACACUGCUUCUCAUACAAAUAAAC
This 1410-nucleotide long non-coding RNA is filed under the name Mus musculus (house mouse). RNAcentral's name for it is "predicted gene, 34370". The record is from RNAcentral. Lineage: Eukaryota; Metazoa; Chordata; Mammalia; Rodentia; Muridae.